This 321-nucleotide unclassified non-coding RNA is filed under the name Basidiomycota sp. RNAcentral's name for it is "partial contains small subunit ribosomal RNA, internal transcribed spacer 1, and 5.8S ribosomal RNA". The stretch from base 1 to 47 matches the Rfam family "Eukaryotic small subunit ribosomal RNA", at positions 1785 to 1831 of the family's 1831-position model. Lineage: Eukaryota; Fungi; Basidiomycota. The record is from RNAcentral.
AAAGUCGUAACAAGGUUUCCGUAGGUGAACCUGCGGAAGGAUCAUUAUUGAUUUGGGUUUCGCACACACCAGUGCUUCUCCCUUGCUGUACCUGCGACCACUGGCCGCCUCUGCAUUUUGAUGUGAAAGUAUAGCAAUAUACGCGCACAAAGUUCGGACGUAUGCGGUGGUUGUGGUGUAUACCGCAAAAAAAUACUCUUGUGAACUUGUACCACCCAAUUUUUAUUUAUAAUGAAAGCCUUAUGUUAUUUUUGUGUCCCCUCACAGGGCCAAUUAUUUAUUAAUUAUACAUAACUUUUAACAACGGAUCUCUUGGCUCUC